UACGGAGGGGGCUAGCGUUGUUCGGAAUUACUGGGCGUAAAGCGCACGUAGGCGGCUUUGUAAGUUAGAGGUGAAAGCCCGGGGCUCAACCCCGGAAUAGCCUUUGAGACUGCAUCGCUAGAAUUGUGGAGAGGUAAGUGGAAUUCCGAGUGUAGAGGUGAAAUUCGUAGAUAUUCGGAAGAACACCAGUGGCGAAGGCGACUUACUGGACACAUAUUGACGCUGAGGUGCGAAAGCGUGGGGAGCAAACAGG
RNAcentral lists this ribosomal RNA (253 nucleotides) under uncultured bacterium. RNAcentral describes it as "partial 16S ribosomal RNA". It matches the Rfam family "Bacterial small subunit ribosomal RNA", at positions 524 to 776 of the family's 1533-position model. The record is from RNAcentral.